AAAGGAAUUGACGGGGACCCGCACAAGCGGUGGAUGAUGUGGAUUAAUUCGAUGCAACGCGAAAAACCUUACCUGGUCUUGACAUGUACGGAAUCCUGCAGAGAUGUGGGAGUGCCUUCGGGAGCCGUAACACAGGUGCUGCAUGGCUGUCGUCAGCUCGUGUCGUGAGAUGUUGGGUUAAGUCCCGCAACGAGCGCAACCCUUGUCUUUAAUUGCCAUCAUUUAGUUGGGCACUUUAGAGAGACUGCCGGGGACAACUCGGAGGAAGGUGGGGAUGACGUCAAGUCCUCAUGGCCCUUAUGACCAGGGCUUCACACGUCAUACAAUGGUCGGAACAGAGGGAAGCCAACCCGCGAGGGGGAGCCAAUCCCAGAAAUCCGAUCGUAGUCCGGAUUGCAGGCUGCAACUCGCCUGCAUGAAGUCGGAAUCGCUAGUAAUCGCGGAUCAGCAUGUCGCGGUGAAUACGUUCCCGGGUCUUGUACACACCGCCCGU
RNAcentral lists this ribosomal RNA (493 nucleotides) under uncultured bacterium. Its description in RNAcentral is "bacterial SSU rRNA". It matches the Rfam family "Bacterial small subunit ribosomal RNA", at positions 903 to 1397 of the family's 1533-position model. The record is from RNAcentral.